GGGUGGAUCGGGUUUGUAGUUGAAUCUCAGGUUCGUACGGAUUAAAAUUAUAUUUUAAUUCCAACUGGUUUGAUAUCGAUUUUGGUACUGAACCAUUAAAACUAAGUCAAACCUUUGUUUGCAUGCAUACAGAUUUAAAUUUUCUGAUAGGGGAUAAUAGAUUAUGAUAUUUGUAAAUGUGUGGAAUUAUGUCAGGUUAAAAAUUAUAUAUAAUUAUUACUAUAUGAUAUUUAUGGUGUAGAAAUAAGUUGUUUAUCCGUAGUUCUUAUAUUAACUUGGUAAAUAUGAAAUGGCAUAUAUAUGCCAACACUUUUUAUCAGUUCAGAUCCGGAUUCAUUUGAAUAUUUCUUAAAUAUCUGAAAUAUCAAAUAGUUUACAACAAAAAGAUGAAAAUAAAAUCUGUAAAAAAAUCUAUACUAUUAUUUAAAAUGCAUAUUUAAAAUUUUUUUUUGACAGCUGCAUAUUUUAAAAUAAAAAUAAAUAAAUUUGUAUUUAUAGUGUUUUGUUCCGAAAAAUAUUUUUCAAUAAACAAGUUAAAAACUGAAUAUUAAAUUUGUAUUUAUAUUAUGUUGUAAAUUUUUAUCACUUAUCUAAUCAAAUAUUUUGAAUUCAUUUUUAUUUUUCAGAUAAUUGUUUAUAUU
RNAcentral lists this long non-coding RNA (641 nucleotides) under Brassica napus (rape). RNAcentral's name for it is "long non-coding RNA (BNAP_LNC006545)". The record is from RNAcentral. Lineage: Eukaryota; Viridiplantae; Streptophyta; Magnoliopsida; Brassicales; Brassicaceae.